CGAAAAUACGCAUCCAUAUGAGUAUGGCGGAAGGAUUUUUAUGCUGCCAGCUAGCGUUACCGUUUGGGGAGUAACGGUGUUAAGAAUACAGUGAAGAGAACUCCCAGAGGGCCUAGAGCAGCUGACAUACUUGAAGGUGUUUCCCAAGAUCUGCACUCAGGAUUAUGAGAGCAAGGCGAGAUCACUCCCCGCUUGCCAUCAACAGCUUCU
Electrophorus electricus (electric eel) is the source of this 210-nucleotide non-coding RNA. The record is from RefSeq and is a predicted model, not a curated record. NCBI's taxonomy places the organism in Eukaryota, Metazoa, Chordata, Actinopteri, Gymnotiformes, Gymnotidae.